This 292-nucleotide ribosomal RNA is filed under the name uncultured bacterium. RNAcentral describes it as "partial 16S ribosomal RNA". The record is from RNAcentral.
GGACUACCGGGGUAUCUAAUCCCGUUCGCUCCCCGCGCUUUCGCGUCUCAGCGUCAGGCGCGGCCCAGGGGGCCGCCUGCGCCACGGGUGUUCCUCCGGAUCUCUACGCAUUUCACCACUACACCCGGAAUUCCACCCCCCUCUACCGGCCUCCAGACGACUAGUUUUCGCCGACCUCGCCCGGUUAAGCCAGGCGCUUUCACAGCAAACUUAGUCAUCCGCCUACACGCGCUUUACGCCCAGUGAUUCCGGACAACGCUCGCCUCCUACGUAUUACCGCGGCGGCUGGCAC